UUUCGAGUGGUCUAGAGACCUUUGACAUACAUUGCAGAUUAAUUGGGCCUGGAGAAAAGGAGGGAGGUUAAUUAGUCCCGAAAUGAAUCAAACUAAACAUUUCGGUUGAAUUGUCUCUGGGGCUGCGCUUGGCCGGGGCCGCUCGAGGGAUCAGCUUUUGAGCCGGACAAAUUGGAGGCGAGUAGCGGUGGUGCGGGACCGACACGGGCCUUUAGCAAUCAUAUANACAUCUCCUCAUCUAUCAUCUUGCUAUGGCAUCCGCACUGAGUGACAUGGGUAAAUGGAGAGUGACAAAGACAGGUGGAACAAGGAAAUGUGUUAGCCCUCGUUCGGCGCAAAUGCUACAUAUUGCUGGGACAUUUUUGUUUCAAGUUGCAGACGGAGGAACAUAUGCUGGGCCUUAUCCACUCAAGUUGUCUCCUAAUCAUGCAUCUGUCUCAGGAAAAAACAAAGAAAAGACUCCAGCUUUCUUUCUUUCUUUGAUGGACGAGGGAACCACUCAGAAGAGCUUAGCUGUACCUGGACCACCCCUUCCCCAUUUUAAGAGAAGUCUUUUCAGCACAAACAUCGUUUCUUCUCCGUGGUUCUUUGUUAGAGCUGGAGUGCCCUGUUCAGUAAGUUCAGACAGAUGGCAAUGACAUAUUUCAUACAGAACUCUGUAAUGUGGGUAAUGGUUCAGGUGGUCUCUGAGAAGGUGAAUGGUUCCUCCACCGUUUUCUCCCCUCCAAAUAGCUUUUGAUUGAACUGCUGGAACUGCCGUCUGCUUUGGAGGCAGCCCUUGGCCUUUUCCCAUGUCCUUGGGAUGCUUGUAAUUUUUUUUUUCUUUUUCUGAAGGCUGGAGCUCCCAAGAAGUAGGUGUCCAAGCUGGGGAGGUUACCAUAGUUUACAGAUGGAUCACUGAGGGUGAGAGACUACCAGUCAAUGUCUUCAAGGCAGUGAAUCCAGAAACACAGUGUCCUGAAGUCAAUGGGAUUUCUCUCCUACCUGCAAAUGUAAUGCUUUCAGUUUUUCAAAGAGAAUCACAAGAGGGACGAGUUGGGAAGCAGAGAGCAUAGCUCUGUGGCAGAACAUCUGGUUUGCACGCAACCCCAUGGAAGGCAAUGGCAAACUGCUUUUGUCUUUAAAGGUACCAGUGACUUUGACCCGACCCCAGCCCCUGGUGACUUUAUGGACACCUCCGUGCACUUUUCUUGGAGACAUUGUGGCAGGUUUGCUGAGCCUGUCAAGAUGUUCAGAAUCACAGAGAUUUCUUAGCUGACUGUCAGGUUGUUAGGUGGGUGCCUGCUAUUUCAGACAGGCCUUGUAUGGAUGGAUCUCUUCUUCAUUCCCAAGCCAUUAUUAUAUUUAUAUAUAUUAUUUACUUGAGGUCACAGUGUGGUGUUUACAAAAUAUAAAAUUAAAUAAUAAAUCAUAAGCAGAAAGUGAAAAAUCCUAAGGC
RNAcentral lists this long non-coding RNA (1438 nucleotides) under Salvator merianae (Argentine black and white tegu). RNAcentral's name for it is "lncRNA (ENSSMRG00000014520.1)". The record is from RNAcentral. Lineage: Eukaryota; Metazoa; Chordata; Lepidosauria; Squamata; Teiidae.